GGGAAGUAAGCUUAUAAACUGUGGCUGUAAUUCAGAGUAUAACAGGAAGCCAUGAGUAUUUUAAGCAGAGAGUGAUUUAUAUUGUAAUAGGAUCAUUUGGACUUCUGUGUUAAAAAUAGCCUAUAAGUGGCAAAGACAGAAACUAGGUGAUGGAUUAGGGAGCUGUGACAAUUAUUCAGUUUUUUAGGACCAGCAGUCCCGUAGAUUCUCAAUGUUUGGUGAGAGACAUGCUUAGAUUGUGCUGUUCCUACAAUGCGAAGCCAGAUAACACUUUGACCAACUUCAGAAAAACUGGUUACGUGGAAAAAACUGUAGACGUACAUAUACAGGCUAUCAUAGAUCCUCAAGAAAGAAGACAUCACUUACUAAAGGAAAACUUGGUGAUAAAAAAUUCAGUUUCCAUCCUAUUCAAUCUUGAGAAUCUCACUGUCUACAAAACUGCUUGUCAGGAAGCAGGAGAGUUUCAGAAUUAG
RNAcentral lists this long non-coding RNA (473 nucleotides) under Papio anubis (olive baboon). RNAcentral describes it as "lncRNA (ENSPANG00000046810.1)". The record is from RNAcentral. Lineage: Eukaryota; Metazoa; Chordata; Mammalia; Primates; Cercopithecidae.